Molecule: transfer RNA, 76 nt
Filed under: Candidatus Peribacter riflensis
Lineage: Bacteria; Candidatus Peregrinibacteriota; Candidatus Peribacteria; Candidatus Peribacterales
Also listed under: 3 other names
Description: tRNA-Thr
Rfam family: tRNA
About the family: Transfer RNA (tRNA) molecules are approximately 80 nucleotides in length. Their secondary structure includes four short double-helical elements and three loops (D, anti-codon, and T loops).
Source: RNAcentral
GCCGCCGUAGCUCAGUUGGUAGAGCACCUCCAUGGUAAGGAGGGGGUCACCGGUUCAAUUCCGGUCGGCGGCUCCA